This 229-nucleotide ribosomal RNA is filed under the name uncultured bacterium. RNAcentral describes it as "partial 16S ribosomal RNA". It matches the Rfam family "Bacterial small subunit ribosomal RNA", at positions 568 to 796 of the family's 1533-position model. The record is from RNAcentral.
CGCGUAGGCGGUCUCUUAAGUCAGAUGUGAAAGCCCGGGGCUUAACCCCGGAAGUGCAUUUGAAACUAAGGGACUUGAGUAUGGGAGAGGGAAGUGGAAUUCCUGGUGUAGAGGUGAAAUUCGUAGAUAUCAGGAGGAACACCGGUGGCGAAGGCGACUUCCUGGACCAAUACUGACGCUGAGGCGCGAAGGCGUGGGGAGCAAACAGGAUUAGAUACCCUGGUAGUCC